This 253-nucleotide ribosomal RNA is filed under the name uncultured bacterium. Its description in RNAcentral is "partial 16S ribosomal RNA". It matches the Rfam family "Bacterial small subunit ribosomal RNA", at positions 524 to 776 of the family's 1533-position model. The record is from RNAcentral.
UACGGAGGGUGCAAGCGUUAUCCGGAUUUACUGGGUUUAAAGGGUGCGUAGGCGGAUUGGUAAGUCAGUGGUGAAAGCCCCGGGCCUAACUCGGGAACUGCCAUUGAUACUAUCAAUCUUGAAUUCAGUUGAGGUGGGCGGAAUGUGUCGUGUAGCGGUGAAAUGCUUAGAUAUGACACAGAACACCAAUUGCGAAGGCAGCUCGCUAAACUGACAUUGACGCUGAGGCACGAAAGCGUGGGGAUCAAACAGG